AUGAACGCUGGCGGCGUGCCUAAUACAUGCAAGUCGCGCGAACGGACGAGAAGCUUGCUUCUCUGAUGUUAGCGGCGGAUGGGUGAGUAACACGUGGAUAACCUACCUAUAAGACUGGGAUAACUUCGGGAAACCGUAGCUAAUACCGGAUAAUAUUUUGAACCGCCUGGUUCAAAAGUGAAAGACGGUCUUGCUGUCACUUAUAGAUGGAUCCGCGCUGCAUUAGCUAGUUGGUAAGGUAACGGCUUACCAAGGCAACGAUGCAUAGCCGACCUGAGAGGGUGAUCGGCCACACUGGAACUGAGACACGGUCCAGACUCCUACGGGAGGCAGCAGUAGGGAAUCUUCCGCAAUGGGCGAAAGCCUGACGGAGCAACGCCGCGUGAGUGAUGAAGGUCUUCGGAUCGUAAAACUCUGUUAUUAGGGAAGAACAUAUGUGUAAGUAACUGUGCACAUCUUGACGGUACCUAAUCAGAAAGCCACGGCUAACUACGUG
This 496-nucleotide ribosomal RNA is filed under the name uncultured bacterium. RNAcentral describes it as "partial 16S ribosomal RNA". It matches the Rfam family "Bacterial small subunit ribosomal RNA", at positions 29 to 507 of the family's 1533-position model. The record is from RNAcentral.